GCUUGGAGGUGGGUUGCCUUUGGAUAUUUGCAUAUCUCUGACACCGAUCACAUCUUCUGACAUAUUCGAUGGAGUCAUGGUACAUGGUAGGCAAGUAAUAGCUUUGUCGGAGCAGUUUGUGGGAUAAAGAUCUAGUCCCUAGGUGACUUCCGCAGACUCCCUCAUGUACCUCUCACAAGGCGAAGUCGGCUUCAGAAGGCCAG
This 203-nucleotide long non-coding RNA is filed under the name Elaeis guineensis (African oil palm). Its description in RNAcentral is "long non-coding RNA (EGUI_LNC056106)". Lineage: Eukaryota; Viridiplantae; Streptophyta; Magnoliopsida; Arecales; Arecaceae. The record is from RNAcentral.